RNAcentral lists this ribosomal RNA (497 nucleotides) under uncultured bacterium. RNAcentral's name for it is "partial 16S ribosomal RNA". It matches the Rfam family "Bacterial small subunit ribosomal RNA", at positions 28 to 507 of the family's 1533-position model. The record is from RNAcentral.
GAUGAACGCUGGCGGCGUGCCUAAUACAUGCAAGUCGAGCGAACGGACGAGAAGCUUGCUUUUCUGACGUUAGCGGCGGACGGGUGAGUAACACGUGGAUAACCUACCUAUAAGACUGGGAUAACUUCGGGAAACCGGAGCUAAUACCGGAUAAUAUUUUGAACCGCAUGGUUCAUAAGUGAAAGACGGUCUUGCUGUCACUUAUAGAUGGAUCCGCGCUGCAUUAGCUAGUUGGUAAGGUAACGGCUUACCAAGGCAACGAUGCAUAGCCGACCUGAGAGGGUGAUCGGCCACACUGGAACUGAGACACGGUCCAGACUCCUACGGGAGGCAGCAGUAGGGAAUCUUCCGCAAUGGGCGAAAGCCUGACGGAGCAACGCCGCGUGAGUGAUGAAGGUCUUCGGAUCGUAAAACUCUGUUAUUAGGGAAGAACAUAUGUGUAAGUAACUGUGCACAUCUUGACGGUACCUAAUCAGAAAGCCACGGCUAACUACGUG